UGGGGAAUUUUGCACAAUGGGGGAAACCCUGAUGCAGCGACGCCGCGUGAUUUAGAAGGCCUUCGGGUUGUAAAAAUCUUUUUUACGGGAUGAAAAUGACAGUACCGUAAGAAUAAGGUCCGGCUAAAUACGUGCCAGCAGCCGCGGUAAUACGUAUGGACCGAGCGUUGUCCGGAAUCAUUGGGCGUAAAGGGUACGUAGGCGGCCUAGUAAGUUAGAAGUGAAAUAAUAUAGCUCAACUAUAUAAAGCUUUUAAAACUGCUAGGCUUGAGAGAUGGAAGGGAAAGUGGAAUUCCUAGUGUAGCGAUGAAAUGCGCAGAUAUUAGGAAGAAUACCGGUGGCGAAGGCGACUUUCUGGUCAUCAUCUGACGCUGAGGUACGAAAGCGUGGGUAGCAAACAGG
This 402-nucleotide ribosomal RNA is filed under the name bacterium. RNAcentral's name for it is "partial 16S ribosomal RNA". It matches the Rfam family "Bacterial small subunit ribosomal RNA", at positions 355 to 776 of the family's 1533-position model. The record is from RNAcentral.